UUGGAUUGUUUAUAUCUAACCCGGAACAAUUACAGAGACGUAUAAAUGUCUAUAGGUGGGUUUUCCGAAGGGGAAUUCCCUAUUUCAAUGGCCAUGAUGCGAAUCUGAGGCAGGCCCAAGUAUGUCUGAGGAUAUUGCGGUGCGGAUUGUCUAAAAGGCGAUAUGUCCUCCGUCCCAGACAGAACUUACAGUUCCUGUCAGAAUUAUUCCUGGAGCACUACUGACAUACUAGGGCGCGGGGCGACAGCUGUUGUAUUCAAAGCCAGAAAUAAGACAUCGGGGGAGGUGUUUGCCGUGAAGGUGUUCCACGAUCGUGUCUCCACCUACCAUUCCUCAGUUCCCGAGCGUGAACUAGACCUCCUCCGAAGAAUGAAGCACCGCAAUGUCAUCGGCAUACUUGGGCGAGAAAAAGAGAUAGGUACCGGAAAUGACGUCAUCGUGAUGGAAUACUGUUCGGGUGGAAGUCUAUACUCGAUGUUGGACAAACCUAAGUAUGCGUUCGGAUUUCCAGAAGAAGAAUUCCUUAUCGUUCUACAUGACAUAAGUGACGGUGUAGCAUACCUCCGAAAAAAUCAAAUUAUACACAGAGACAUAAAACCUGGGAAUAUCAUGCGGAAAAUAGACGAAAACGGAAGGUCAGUAUACAUGCUGACUGAUUUCGGGGCCGCUAGAGCUCUCGAAGAGGAAGAAACGUUUACGUCCAUCUAUGGAACUGAGGAAUAUUUGGACCCUAACAUGUAUGAGCGAGCUGUGUUACGUAGAACAACGGGAAAUGUGUACGACGCGGACGUUGAUUUGUGGAGUUUAGGUGUCACCAUAUACCACGUGGCAACAGGUUCUCUCCCCUUUCAGCCCUACGGAGGAAGAAGCAAUGCAACUACUAUGCACUACAUCACAAGUGAGAAAAAGUCUGGAGUGAUAUCCGGAAAACAGCGAUCGGAGGGCGGAGAUAUAGAAUGGAGCACUGAACUUCCAAGGACGUGCUCUCUAUCAGCGUCUCUAAAAUCCUUUGUAACCCCAAUGAUAGCAGGCCUGUUGGAAAGUAACCAGAAAAUGAGAUGGACGUUCGAUAAAUUCUUUAAUAGUACCAAUGAUAUAAUGAAUAAAAUCACCGUAAAGGUCUUUGAUUGCUCAACUGGAAUCAAUAAUAAACUCUACAUCGAUAAAACGGACCGAUACGCCCAAUUUCAAGAGGCUGUUGCAAAGACUACAGAGAUAGCAGCUGGAGAACAGUUAAUUUUAUUCCAUAAUAGAGAACUUAGUGAAAUUAUUGAAGGGACUAUACAAAUGCAAAACUGGCCCAAAAACUUAAUAAGAGGUCAAGUGUAUCUGUAUCAACGAGAGAAACUCGACCAACAAAGACUUGUGUUACCGGAAAUACCACCUCUACCACAAUUUCCUUCCAAAGUUACGCUCGAUCGAGAUUGUUAUGUAGCUCAUAAAAUGGCAGCGAUAUCUUGUUUAAUGGAACGCUAUAUUGCCAUGUGUAUAAUACAACAAGAAAUCAUGUUGCAAUCUGAAAAUUACCUACGGGACUAUAUUCUAAGGAUAACACGAAAAAUAAAUAAUUGUAUACCUGACAUGUGUAAGAUGCUGCAGGAACACAAAUCCCGCCAGAAUGUGUUCUACAACUGUUAUGAUUCCCAGCUUAGGAUGUGUGUAAUAUUGAGGAAGCCGAACCCGACCUCCACCACAGAUGCCGAAUUCUUGCGAUUGUUUGAUCGUCUCCAUGAAGUAGUCGAGGACAAAAAUCCCUGGACAGUACUGAAUAAGGCCGAGUCCAGGUCACAUGAGUGCAAAGUUUACAUGGAGGUUCUAAUGCAGAAAAUAAAAGAACAAGAGGACGAGGCUAUUGCGGUGUGUGUCGGAUGCUUGGAAGAGGAUCAUUGCAUGCAGAAAGCUGAGUAUAUAAAUUCUAAGGUCUGUGAUAUCCAUUUGGUGUUUCUCCGUCACAAGAAGCAAAGGAUACUCCCGGAGGAAGAAAGCUUUGGUCACGAGGCCGAUAGAGCAAAGCUAAUGGAUCUAUGUGUUCAGAUUGUCUCCCUUUUACAAAGCCAUUGUUUGUUGAAUCUUACCAGAGUUUAUAAUGUAGUUGGGAAACAGUUAUCAUUAUUGUUAAAAAACUUACAAAGAACUAAGAAAGUGGAACAAAAUAUCACUUCCGUCACCGAAUGUUGUGAAAAACUGAGCAAACGGAUGGAAAGGAUGGAAACGGAAUGUAAAGACCUUUCCUCUAAGUUAAUCCCUGCAGUGCAUUCAUUGAUGAUAAAUAACAAGUCCAUUGGUCAAGGAAUACCAGAGACGACCGGACAGAAACCUGGCAAUUCCGGAACUGAUUCGGGGUAUGGUACAAAGGAAGUAUCCUCCACAUCUGGAAUCGUUUCCAAACAAGCUAGCCAGAUGUCCAGUGAUCCUGGUUAUUAUUCUCCUCAACAAUCCUCUAUAGGACAAUCUGCUCUUUCAAAAUUCAAGGAAAUGACGACAUCGACAUCGCGAUUCCCAUCCUCGGGCUUUAUUAGUAUUGCUCAUAAACUAGAGUCGGGAUUUCAGUCUCUAAACAAAGACAGCAUAACUGUAAGUCAGAAUUUAGAAGAAAAUACCAAGAUUUUGGAGGAACAAAAUAAAAUGGUUGCACAACUGAGCCAAUUAGGACUAGCUGGUUCGGAAGACACAUAGGCCUUAAAAUAUCUAGCAAACUAGACAGGAAACGCUCAUAUUUCCUUUUGCGUAGAUGGUCAAAAGAUUGCAUCGGAAAAUCCCAAACAGACCUGUUUUAAGCCACCUGAUCUUGAAUCGAAAGUCACAACGGAUAGAAGAAGGAAAAAUACAAUGAAAAUGGAAUAAAAUCAGAUGCGACGUAUGGCAUAUAAACAUGGGAAGAAACCCCAGAAGACAUUUAAGUCAUCUAAAUGUCGCUUUCUUCCAAUUUUUCAACAGUCUAGUCUAAUAAGCUGAAAAAAUUAAUUGAUUAUUAGAAGAUUGAAUACUGAUUCAAUUGCUGGUGGGACUUUAAUCCUUUUAUUUGUAUAAACAUACUAGCUUUCAAAAUACUGAAAAAAAGAAGCUAAUGAAUGCACCAGUUUGUGUUUGAAUACACCAACAAACAAAACGUUUAAAUUCAAAAAGGAUUGACACCAUCAAGCAAUAGGUUUUCUAAAAUGAAAACGGAACCAAGCAGUAUAGAAACAUUCAAAGCUUAUUAAACAUUACGGAAUACUUGGGACAUUAAAAUAUGCGGUAUCCAUUGAUUCCAUUACACCGAUACAUCUUCAAUAUAAGGAUAUUACACUGUGUAAUAAUAUACUUGGAGUUAUGUUGAAACAACAACGAUAUGGAAGGAAAGAAACCAUGAUGCAUACAGAGCAACAGUUCAACACCAACUGGUUUGAAAUAUGUUGAUAUGUCUCAUUCCAACAGCAAUAGAUUACAAAGUAAUCAAGUAAACCAGAUACAAUAUUCGAUACAAAUUAAAACUUACCAUUGACCAACUUAUUAAUCUAGUGACCGCCUAUUCACUUGAUCAUUUUGCGGUAUCUAAUCGAGUCUUGGAAACUAGAAAACAGACAAAGGAACAAGACAGAAUAUGAUAUAUAUGUAUUUGUAUAUAGCGAUUUAUCUAUCAAUUAUUUAUGCAUUAAGAUAUUGUUGAUGAAAAAUUCAGGUUAUACAUUUGAGUAAAACACAACAUUUACAUG
Magallana angulata is the source of this 3695-nucleotide RNA transcript. It is a transcript of the gene named serine/threonine-protein kinase TBK1-like, with no coding region annotated. The transcript has 21 exons. The record is from RefSeq and is a predicted model, not a curated record. Lineage: Eukaryota; Metazoa; Mollusca; Bivalvia; Ostreida; Ostreidae.